GGUACCGAAGUGCAGGGUGGGGUUCCUUCCGCUGCGGACGGGGUAACGCGGGUUCGAAUCCCGCCGGGACUU
Molecule: non-coding RNA, 72 nt
Organism: Frankia sp.
Lineage: Bacteria; Bacillati; Actinomycetota; Actinomycetes; Frankiales; Frankiaceae
Source: Rfam